GUAGGUGGCAAGCGUUGUCCGGAAUUAUUGGGCGUAAAGCGCGCGCAGGCGGUCCUUUAAGUCUGAUGUGAAAGCCCACGGCUCAACCGUGGAGGGUCAUUAGAAACUGGGGGACUUGAGUACAGAAGAGGAAAGCGGAAUUCCAAGUGUAGCGGUGAAAUGCGUAGAGAUUUGGAGGAACACCAGUGGCGAAGGCGGCUUUCUGGUCUGUAACUGACGCUGAGGCGCGAAAGCGUGGGGAGCAAACAGGAUUAGAUACCCUGGUAGUCCACGCCGUAAACGAUGAGUGCUAAGUGUUAGGGGGUUUCCCGCCCCCUUAGUGCUGCAGCUAACGCAUUAAGCACUCCGCCUGGGGAGUACGGCCGCAAGGCUG
RNAcentral lists this ribosomal RNA (373 nucleotides) under uncultured organism. RNAcentral's name for it is "partial 16S ribosomal RNA". It matches the Rfam family "Bacterial small subunit ribosomal RNA", at positions 527 to 896 of the family's 1533-position model. The record is from RNAcentral.